AAUCACUAGCUUUACUGUCAU
RNAcentral lists this microRNA (21 nucleotides) under Anolis carolinensis (green anole). RNAcentral describes it as "aca-miR-34c-3p". Its record names the gene aca-miR-34c-3p. The record is from miRBase by way of RNAcentral. Lineage: Eukaryota; Metazoa; Chordata; Lepidosauria; Squamata; Anolidae.